GCGCGUUGGUGUUGGCAGACAACUUCAACUAGAACUAGUUGGUGCCUGGUGGUGUUCUGGAGUCCCUUUUCUCCCUCCCCUCAAUGAAUCAUAUUAUUAGCUUUUAUUAUUUCCACUUUGCAAUCAUUCCUUCUCUGAUAACUGAUUCUCAAUCUUCGUUGCCAAUCAAAAUUCUUGCCUUCCUUCCCCUCUCCUCUCUUACUGAUUGAUUCCAUAGCCAGCCAAGAGUUGCCAAUUGCUGUAAAAAAAAAAAAUGGAGAGAAGAAAAUUGGUUUCCACAUCUCAGAAGAAAACCCUUCUCUCUCUUUUAUCCAUCAACUUAAAGAAACUCACGAUCACACCUCCAAAUGACCUUGAGUUCUCUGAUGUAUUUGGCCCAUCAUCAACCCCGCAUGACCCUAACCAUUCACACUCUCCUUCCACGUCAUCUUCUGUCCUGGACCCCCCUGUCAUCCACAACAGGUCCCACUCCUUUGUGGGCCCCUCCCCUCGCUACCCUCUUCCCUCUUCUCCUCUCCCCUUCCACCAUAUCCAAGAAGAUGAUGAAGCUGUAAUAGAAAAUGAAAGUUGUGACAAUGAAAAGGGAAAGAGCGAGGAUGAUGAGGGUCAAGUGGGCAGUUGUGGUAAUAAUAAUAAAAUCGGGCCUGCUGAUUUUGAGAUACUGAGAGUGGUAGGAAAGGGAGCAUUUGGUAAGGUGUUUCAAGUAAGAAAGAAGACUGGUGAUGGCAAAGAAAAAGGAGGAGGAGGAGGUAGUGGGGAUGGGAUUUAUGCAAUGAAAGUAAUGAGGAAGGACACAAUUAUUAAAAAGAAACAUGUUGAUUACAUGAAGGCUGAGAGGGAUAUCCUCACUAAAGUGGUGCACCCCUUUAUCGUCCAGCUUCGCUACUCCUUUCAGACCAAGUCUAAGCUUUACUUAAUCUUGGAUUUUAUGAAUGGAGGUCAUCUCUUCUUUCAUCUUUAUCGGCAAGGGAUCUUCAGCGAGGACCAGGCAAGGUUUUAUACUGCUGAGAUAGUAUCUGCUGUUGCCCAUCUUCACAAGUGCGGGAUUGUGCAUCGGGAUCUUAAACCUGAAAAUAUUCUCUUGGAUGCUGACGGGCAUGUUCUACUGACUGAUUUUGGACUUGCAAAGGAAAUUGAUGAAUCAAGCAGAUCCAAUUCAAUGUGUGGGACCACUGAAUACAUGGCUCCGGAAAUUUUACUGUCCAAGGGCCACAAUAAAGAUGCAGAUUGGUGGAGUGUUGGAAUACUUCUGUAUGAAAUGCUAACUGGGCAGCCACCAUUUACACACUCAAAUAGAAAGAAGCUCCAGGAGAGAAUUAUCAAAGAGAGAGUCAAACUUCCACCAUACCUUAGUAGUGAAGCUCACUCCUUGCUGAAAGGAUUGCUGCAGAAAGAACCAUCAAGAAGGUUAGGCAGUGGUCUUGAUGGCGGGGAUGAGAUCAAAGGCCAUAAAUGGUUGCGGCCAAUCAACUGGAAAAAAUUAGAGGCGAGAGAACUGCAGCCAAAGUACAUACCAGAUGUGAGUGGCAAAGACUGUACAGCCAACUUUGACCAAUGUUGGACAACAAUGCCCCUUGAUGACUCACCAGCUCCCACACCAACUGCUGGUGAACAUUUUCAAGGGUAUACUUAUGUUGCGCCUAACCCUUGGCUUUCAUCCGGAUGAAUUAAAUGAUUAUGAAGCACUGCCAACCUAAUGAAAUUUGAAUUUUGAUCUUUGGUGAAACAGAACAGUAUUGGGUUUGUUGCAAUGGUUCCAUGCUGGUUCUUAUGCUAGUUGAGAGCUGAUCAAAUUUUAAGAAUGUGAGAUUAAUGAAGUCUUUAAUCAAAAGCAUGCCAAAAUAUCCAAUCCAAAGCACAAAGACCAUUUGGAUGGCUUGGCAAGAGAGAGAGAGAGGAUUCUGUUCAGGACUUCCUCAUGAAGGUGAUGUAAAGCAAUGGUGGAUAGUAAAGAGAAGCUUUCUUAAAGUACAAAGAAGAAAGUAGCAUAGAAGAAUCUUGUUUUUCAUUAGGAGACAGAAAGAGUGGCUAUAGUUGAAAGUCCAUAAAGUAGCCAUGAGUAGCAAAAAUAGGAGCAACAAUUCCCUCUGUGAGAACUCAAUGAAGGUGGCGGUGAACAUCAUAAAAUUGUCUUCAUUUUCUAUUGCUAAGAUGAGUCUGGGAACACAUAGUCCUCCAGUUGUCACCAAAAGUUAUAUCCCUAUGACAGGCUCGGUCAUGGUUGCUAAUGAACCAUUGUUGUCUCAAAUUCCAGGAAGUCGAAGGUCACAAGAGUCACAGGGGAGCUCAAAGCCAAUAUCAUUUGUGAUGCAGCCAGAUGAAGGUAAUGGUUCUACACAUGCGAUCCACAAGGAGAACAGUGUUAUAGAUGGGAGGGCUUCUGAUUAUAUCAGAAAGGUACACGAGAAAAACCACAAAGAUGCUCGUGAGAUGUCAGAACUCUCCUCGUACAUACUACCUCCUCCGCCAUGAGCAGUGAAGUAGCUACCUUAACACGUGUUUUUCAGUAUUUCUUGUUACCCAUUUAAUGUUUGGCUGAAAUAACCUGAUAAGUUAGAUCACUGAAAAAGAACUGGAUCUUUCAUAUCCUUUCCUUGCUUGUGUUAGUGAUUAGUGUAUUCUCAUCUGCUUCUUGUGUACUUGCCUUCUCUCUCAAGGGAAAGGGGCCAUGGUCCUGAACCAGAGAUUAUCUCCUAAUAUGGCAUAAAACUGUGUACCUGAGUGCUGCAUAGCAUGCGUUUCUAUUUAUGGCUUUUCCAGAUCUUCUAAAGAAA
RNA transcript from Populus trichocarpa (black cottonwood), 2774 nucleotides. It is a transcript of the gene named serine/threonine-protein kinase AtPK1/AtPK6, with no coding region annotated. NCBI's taxonomy places the organism in Eukaryota, Viridiplantae, Streptophyta, Magnoliopsida, Malpighiales, Salicaceae. The record is from RefSeq and is a predicted model, not a curated record. The transcript has 8 exons.